AUGUCGACUGAACUAUUCACAAUGACUGAGCAUCUGUCCAUCACAGAUCAGCUCCUCCUUCUCUACGUUUACGACCUACAUCUGAAAAACAUUGAACAGCAUUUGCAGGCUGCGCAGGAAGUACUUCACUGGAAGUUUUCACCUCGGGAGAUAAAGGAAGACAUUGUGAGGAACCAAAGGACUGGUCCAGCCCUGCAAAAGGAGAACCACAGCCUAAAUCCAGAAGAGGCCCUCCAGAAAGAGCCCGCUGAAGAGGAAGUACUGAAAAUUUCAGUGGAAGAAGCAGCAGCAGUGGCGUCAGUGCUGGAGAUUGUGCAAGUCUCACAUCCAGAACAGACCUCUGAAGAAGCCGUCAUCACCAGUGCGAUGGAAAACAGGUCCAGGAGAAAAAGAAAGUAUGUACUGUUGUGCAUGUAUUGCACUUCCUACUUGAUGUACACUAUAUGA
Molecule: long non-coding RNA, 447 nt
Organism: Carassius auratus (goldfish)
Lineage: Eukaryota; Metazoa; Chordata; Actinopteri; Cypriniformes; Cyprinidae
Source: Ensembl